CAAAGACCUUGGCUCUCUCUCUGGAGCCCUUCCCUCUGGCAGGAAAUUGAGGAAGGGCCAACUAGCUUUGAGAACCAGUCUUCUUGAUUUGCCAGGAUGAACAGUCAAAAGAAAAGAAAAGAUAUGGAACCUGCUUGUACUUGGAGUUUAUUGUCUGAACAGAAAGCUGCUUCAAAUUCUCAGGCUCCAUAUUCAUGGAAGGAUCUCACAG
Molecule: non-coding RNA, 211 nt
Organism: Leptonychotes weddellii (Weddell seal)
Lineage: Eukaryota; Metazoa; Chordata; Mammalia; Carnivora; Phocidae
Source: RefSeq, a predicted model, not a curated record